This 320-nucleotide unclassified non-coding RNA is filed under the name plant metagenome. RNAcentral's name for it is "partial contains 5.8S ribosomal RNA, internal transcribed spacer 2, and large subunit ribosomal RNA". The stretch from base 1 to 105 matches the Rfam family "5.8S ribosomal RNA", at positions 50 to 154 of the family's 154-position model. The record is from RNAcentral.
GAAAUGCGAUAAGUAAUGUGAAUUGCAGAAUUCAGUGAAUCAUCGAAUCUUUGAACGCACAUUGCGCCCGCCAGUAUUCUGGCGGGCAUGCCUGUUCGAGCGUCAUUACAACCCUCAGGCCCCCGGGCCUGGCGUUGGGGAUCGGCGGAAGCCCCAUGCGGGCACAACGCCGUCCCCCAAAUACAGUGGCGGUCCCGCCGCAGCUUCCAUUGCGUAGUAGCUAACACCUCGCAACUGGAGAGCGGCGCGGCCACGCCGUAAAACACCCAACUUCUGAAUGUUGACCUCGAAUCAGGUAGGAAUACCCGCUGAACUUAAGC